This 253-nucleotide ribosomal RNA is filed under the name uncultured bacterium. RNAcentral describes it as "partial 16S ribosomal RNA". It matches the Rfam family "Bacterial small subunit ribosomal RNA", at positions 524 to 776 of the family's 1533-position model. The record is from RNAcentral.
UACGUAGGGUGCAAGCGUUGUCCGGAAUUAUUGGGCGUAAAGAGCUCGUAGGCGGUUUGUCGCGUCUGCUGUGAAAACUCAGGGCUUAACCCUGAGCCUGCAGUGGGUACGGGCAGACUAGAGUGUGGUAGGGGAGAUCGGAAUUCCUGGUGUAGCGGUGGAAUGCGCAGAUAUCAGGAGGAACACCGGUGGUGAAGGCGGAUCUCUGGGCCAUAACUGACGCUGAGGAGCGAAAGCAUGGGGAGCGAACAGG